Molecule: ribosomal RNA, 788 nt
Filed under: uncultured Lactobacillus sp.
Lineage: Bacteria; Bacillati; Bacillota; Bacilli; Lactobacillales; Lactobacillaceae
Description: bacterial SSU rRNA
Rfam family: Bacterial small subunit ribosomal RNA
Source: RNAcentral
GACGAACGCUGGCGGCGUGCCUAAUACAUGCAAGUCGAGCGAGCUUGCCUAGAUGAAUUUGGUGCUUGCACCAAAUGAAACCAGAUACAAGCGAGCGGCGGACGGGUGAGUAACACGUGGGUAACCUGCCCAAGAGACUGGGAUAACACCUGGAAACAGAUGCUAAUACCGGAUAACAACACUAGACGCAUGUCUAGAGUUUAAAAGAUGGUUCUGCUAUCACUCUUGGAUGGACCUGCGGUGCAUUAGCUAGUUGGUAAGGUGACGGCUUACCAAGGCAAUGAUGCAUAGCCGAGUUGAGAGACUGAUCGGCCACAUUGGGACUGAGACACGGCCCAAACUCCUACGGGAGGCAGCAGUAGGGAAUCUUCCACAAUGGACGCAAGUCUGAUGGAGCAACGCCGCGUGAGUGAAGAAGGGUUUCGGCUCGUAAAGCUCUGUUGGUAGUGAAGAAAGAUAGAGGUAGUAACUGGCCUUUAUUUGACGGUAAUUACUUAGAAAGUCACGGCUAACUACGUGCCAGCAGCCGCGGUAAUACGUAGGUGGCAAGCGUUGUCCGGAUUUAUUGGGCGUAAAGCGAGUGCAGGCGGUUCAAUAAGUCUGAUGUGAAAGCCUUCGGCUCAACCGGAGAAUUGCAUCAGAAACUGUUGAACUUGAGUGCAGAAGAGGAGAGUGGAACUCCAUGUGUAGCGGUGGAAUGCGUAGAUAUAUGGAAGAACACCAGUGGCGAAGGCGGCUCUCUGGUCUGCAACUGACGCUGAGGCUCGAAAGCAUGGGUAGCGAACAGG